AUGCACGCUGGCGGCGUGCCUCAUACAUGCAAGUCGCGCGAACAGACGAGGAGCUUGCUCCUCUGACGUUAGCGGCGGACGGGUGAGUAACACGUGGAUAACCUACCUAUAAGACUGGGAUAACUUCGGGAAACCGCAGCUAAUACCGGAUAAUAUAUUGAACCGCAUGGUUCAAUAGUGAAAGACGGUUUUGCUGUCACUUAUAGAUGGAUCCGCGCCGCAUUAGCUAGUUGGUAAGGUAACGGCUUACCAAGGCAACGAUGCGUAGCCGACCUGAGAGGGUGAUCGGCCACACUGGAACUGAGACACGGUCCAGACUCCUACGGGAGGCAGCAGUAGGGAAUCUUCCGCAAUGGGCGAAAGCCUGACGGAGCAACGCCGCGUGAGUGAUGAAGGUCUUCGGAUCGUAAAACUCUGUUAUUAGGGAAGAACAAAUGUGUAAGUAACUAUGCACGUCUUGACGGUACCUAAUCAGAAAGCCACGGCUAACUACGUG
RNAcentral lists this ribosomal RNA (496 nucleotides) under uncultured bacterium. RNAcentral describes it as "partial 16S ribosomal RNA". It matches the Rfam family "Bacterial small subunit ribosomal RNA", at positions 29 to 507 of the family's 1533-position model. The record is from RNAcentral.